UGCAGGCUCAUCCUGACAUCCUCCUCCCUCAUGUGUUACCCUUCCUGCAGGCUCAUCCUGACAUCCUCCUCCCUCAUGUGUUACCCUUCCUGCAGGCUCAUCCUGACAUCCUCCUCCCUCAUGUGGUGCCCUUCCUGCAGGCUCAUCCUGACAUCCUCCUCCCUCAUGUGGUGCCCUUCCUGCAGGCUCAUCCUGACAGAACCCUCCCUCAUGUGGUACCCUUCCUGCAGGCUCAUCCUGACAUCCUCCUCCCUCAUGUGGUGCCCUUCCUGCAGGCUCAUCCUGACAGAACCCUCCCUCAUGUGGUAUCCUUCCUGCAGGCUCAUCCUGACAGAACCCUCCCUCAUGUGGUACCCUUCCUGCAGGCUCAUCCUGACAGAACCCUCCCUCAUGUGGUGCCCUUCCUGCAGGCUCAUCCUGACAGAACCCUCCCUCAUGUGGUACCCUUCCUGCAGGCUCAUCCUGACAGAACCCUCCCUCAUGUGGUACCCUUCCUACAGGCUCAUCCUGACAUCCUCCUCCCUCAUGUGGUAUCCUUCCUGCAGGCUCAUCCUGACAUCCUCCUCCCUCAUGUGGUAUCCUUCCUGCAGGCUCAUCCUGACAGAACCCUCCCUCAUGUGGUAUCCUUCCUACAGGCUCAUCCUGACAUCCUCCUCCCUCAUGUGGUAUCCUUCCUGCAGGCUCAUCCUGACAGAACCCUCCCUCAUGUGGUGCCCUUCCUGCAGGCUCAUCCUGACAUCCUCCUCCCUCAUGUGGUAUCCUUCCUGCAGGCUCAUCCUGACAGAACCCUCCCUCAUGUGGUAUCCUUCCUGCAGGCUCAUCCUGACAUCCUCCUCCCUCAUGUGGUAUCCUUCCUGCAGGCUCAUCCUGACAGAACCCUCCCUCAUGUGGUAUCCUUCCUGCAGGCUCAUCCUGACAGAACCCUCCCUCAUGUGGUAUCCUUCUUGCAGGCUCAUCCUGACAGAACCCUCCCUCAUGUGGUACCCUUCCUGCAGGCUCAUCCUGACAGAACCCUCCCUCAUGUGGUACCCUUCCUGCAGGCUCAUCCUGACAGAACCCUCCCUCAUGUGGUACCCUUCCUACAGGCUCAUCCUGACAGAAC
Long non-coding RNA from Oncorhynchus tshawytscha (Chinook salmon), 1102 nucleotides. The record is from Ensembl. NCBI's taxonomy places the organism in Eukaryota, Metazoa, Chordata, Actinopteri, Salmoniformes, Salmonidae.